CUCUGAGCCUGCGCGUGGCGAGAACAAGUCGAGCCCCGAGCGGCGGGGGGCGGGGGGUGCCGAGGAAGCCCGGCCCCGGCAGGGGACGCCGCCCCGCUCAGAAAUGAGCACCGAGCGUGCCAUUGCUGUAUGCGGAAAGCUGGGUGACGAAUCUCGAAAGCUUCUCCUUGGUUUCAUAUCUCAGAAGCCAUACAACCUGAGCCUGCAGAAAUCCCCCUUGUCCUGCCCCUGCCAGGAGCCUGUAGGAACUGGGAGGAAAGACAGGCAGAAGGUCUGAACCUCGGAAGGCCUGAUGGACUCUUCUGGAAGGGGUUUCACCUCCCCCCGCCCCGGCCCCAAACACCUUCUAAUGCUUUAUUCUGGCAUUGAGACUGUCCAAAAUGGCACCACAGAGUUUAAUUAAUCAUUCUCCUAUUGCUCUGUAGAGUUUAUGUCAGUAAAUGUUUCAUUUCAUUAAAAAACAAACUACUCAAAUGGAAA
Long non-coding RNA from Mirounga angustirostris (Northern elephant seal), 480 nucleotides. RefSeq lists it as uncharacterized. NCBI's taxonomy places the organism in Eukaryota, Metazoa, Chordata, Mammalia, Carnivora, Phocidae. The transcript is spliced from 2 exons. The record is from RefSeq and is a predicted model, not a curated record.